Molecule: microRNA, 22 nt
Filed under: Oryza sativa (Asian cultivated rice)
Lineage: Eukaryota; Viridiplantae; Streptophyta; Magnoliopsida; Poales; Poaceae
Also listed under: 1 other name
Description: osa-miR5076
Source: miRBase by way of RNAcentral
GAAAUGGGAGCAGAGCAGGUUU